RNAcentral lists this ribosomal RNA (37 nucleotides) under Thaxterogaster sp. H1194. RNAcentral describes it as "partial 28S ribosomal RNA". Lineage: Eukaryota; Fungi; Basidiomycota; Agaricomycetes; Agaricales; Cortinariaceae. The record is from RNAcentral. RNAcentral also lists the same sequence under 2 other names.
CAGGUAGGACUACCCGCUGAACUUAAGCAUAUCAAUA